UCAUUGUUGGUGUAAAGCACACCAUUUUUUGAUAAUGGAAGUUACAUUAAU
Molecule: transfer RNA, 51 nt
Filed under: Ascoschoengastia sp. TATW-1
Lineage: Eukaryota; Metazoa; Arthropoda; Arachnida; Trombidiformes; Trombiculidae
Description: tRNA-Gln
Source: RNAcentral